UUCUCUCUCCUUCCUCUGUGUUUUUCCUUCGAUCCUCUUCAUCUUCUUCGAUCUUCUCCCUCUAAUCCUCUUCCACCAAAUCCCAUCCUCCAUUCUAAACCCUAAAUAUUUCAUCUCUCUUUCACCGCACACACACAGUCUCUCUCCUCCGCCUCUCGCCGUCGCCAUCACCAUCACCAUCACCAUCACCGAUUGAUCUUUUGGAGAUUCGGCUUUAUUUGGAUGAUCAGUUCAACCAAUUGCAGGAAUUAGCUGACGAGAGUUGCCCAGAUUUUGUUAUUGAAGUUGUAACCCUUUUCUUUCAAGAUUAUGAAAAGCUCCUUGACAUAACUCUUGAGGAGCCAGUGUAGAUUUCAAUCAAGUGGCAAAUCAUGCUCAUCAGUUAAAAGGGAGUAGUUCUAGAAGCUGAAAAAUGGCCCAGCAAAGAAGGAAGAAUGUUACUGAUAUUAAUCUCUCUUAUAACCCCAGCAAAGAAGGAAGAAGGAAGAAUGUUAAGUUUAUUAAUCUCUCUUAUAACCCCAGCAAAGAAGGAAGAAGGAAGAAUGUUAAGUUUUGUUUUAGCAAAGAAGGAAGAAUGUUAAGUUUAUUAAUCUCUCUUGAUUUUUACAGAUUUUGGGGAUUAUUUUUGUGAUUUAGGUUUUCUUCGCAUUAUUGAAUGAACUUACUAAUUUGAUGUAUAAUUUUUUUAAGAUGAACUUUGUGAACAAUUUGUAU
Long non-coding RNA from Spinacia oleracea (spinach), 714 nucleotides. RefSeq lists it as uncharacterized. The transcript is spliced from 4 exons. The record is from RefSeq and is a predicted model, not a curated record. NCBI's taxonomy places the organism in Eukaryota, Viridiplantae, Streptophyta, Magnoliopsida, Caryophyllales, Amaranthaceae.